GUGAAAUUUCCAGUAUAAUAUAUAGGCUAUAAUCAUAGAUAGUAGAGGGGAGGGAUUGGAAACAUCUCAGGUGACCAAUGUAUUGCCCUAGAGAAUUCUGACACUAUGCGUGUUGCAUUCCGCAAGUGUUGAUUGCGAUUGAUUGCGAGCCAGCUGCAAAGACAGAGGAGAAGAAACUGAAGAAAACUGCAGGUACUCAGAACAUCUGAGGAUCUGCCAAGACCCUUUGGAAAAGUUUGGCAUGCCAAUGACAGAGGGAAGGGACACUGUUAUUUGUUACGAUUGGUCGUGCAAAAGCUGUGUAGUGACCUGUGAUGACGGAAAUACACCACUACCUAAACGUCGUCAGACUUACACAAAUUAUGUUUUGUGUUUGUAAACAUCAUCAUUUCUCCAUGCAUCCUUUGUGAUUGUGUGUAUCAUAAUGUUAAGAAAUAAGUAUGCAGUCUAUGA
Molecule: long non-coding RNA, 453 nt
Organism: Halichondria panicea
Lineage: Eukaryota; Metazoa; Porifera; Demospongiae; Suberitida; Halichondriidae
Exons: 2
Source: RefSeq, a predicted model, not a curated record